Molecule: long non-coding RNA, 529 nt
Filed under: Calidris pygmaea (Spoon-billed sandpiper)
Lineage: Eukaryota; Metazoa; Chordata; Aves; Charadriiformes; Scolopacidae
Description: lncRNA (ENSCPGG00000003961.1)
Source: RNAcentral
CCUUUUUCUUUAUUCAGUCAUUGUAUAGACUGUUUGUGACAAGGUUUUGAAAAGCAUCUGACAAUUUGGGGCUCUUUGAUUUGCAGGUUUCCAGUUGAAGGAUGUGACUUCCCGAAAGUGCAAAGCAAAAAUUCCCUGCAGGCAUCUCUGAAGUGUCUCAGUGGCUAUACGAGGUGUGAGCUUUGUAACUGCAGACUUUCAUUUUGAUUGCAAUGCACUCCUCAAGACCUUGGAGGGCCACUACUACAGGCUAACCUGAACAAGAAUCCACCCUGGCAUGCUCAGUGCCUCAUUUUUUCAGUUCCAAACAAUCCAUACGGUAAACUAGUCAACCCCUCAGUACAUCAGUCUAACACUAUGCCAAAUAUGCUCUCAAGUUUCAAAGCAAUUUGAGUUGAAAGCUCUGUAUCCUUGCAAGCAUACUAGAUACAAGACCUAGAAUCUUAAGUAUAAAUCAGUACAAAGCCUUCACCUGAGGCUUUUCACGGUGGAACUCCUACCUUCCUGUUCCCUAUGAGUUUGAAGAGCU